AUAUGAUAUAAUAAAUAAUGUUUAAAAGGUAGUGUAUUUUAUAUACUUUCUAUUAUUUUAGCAACAAAUCCUACUUAAAUAAAAAAAACUGUGUAUGUUUGCAUUAGUUCCAGUCUAUUUACCUCAGGGUUUCUGUAGCUCUUAAUUUUACUAUAAAUCCAUCUGCUUUAAUAUUUUUAUCGCUUUGAUUACUUAAAAUCCUGAUUGCAGUACUCUCCACUAAGUCUGUUCCUGACCACCUACUCCUCCUCCCUCAGUUUAAUUUUAAUUUAAAACUUGAUUUAAAUUUAUUUUUUUUUUAAAUCUGGGAGAAGUUACCAGGGGAGAGGGUAGACAUGGAAGAACUGGAAAAUGAGUGUUACCGGGAUGCAUGAUGAGAAAUUCACAGAGAAUCAAUGAAGAAUAUACAUUUUCACAAGAAAAAAAGAUAGAAAACAAAAAGAAAAGAAAGCAAGGGUAUAUUUUAACUAGUAGUUUCCAGGAAUAAGGUACACAGGAAGGAAAUCAUGGUGAUGUUACUCACAAUGAAGUAGCCCAGGGAAUAGCUUGUUCAAUUUAGAAAGUGGCUUAAUUUGCUACUAUUGCUAUGAUAAAACACUGAUGAAAAGCAACUUAUGGAGGACAGGUUACACUUCAUGAUUUACUUCUAGUUAUCAGUUAAUUACUGAGAAAUGUCAGGGCCCAAACUGAAGCAGGGUAGGAACCUGGAGGCAAGAAAUGAAGCAGAAACUGUGUAAGAGCUGUGCUUCCUGUCCUGCACCUCAUAUAUUUCUUUGUGUGAUUAAUAGCUCAAGGGUGGCACCAUCCUGGAGAUCUGGGCCCUACAAUUUCCACUGUUAAUCAAGACAACAUCCCAUAGACUUCCCUACACACUAGGACAAUCUGAUGUAGGCAUUUCCUCAACUAAGAUCCCUCUUCUCACCAACUUCUUCUCUUAGACAUUUUUCUAUUUCUUUAAUAAAACACCAGGAGUAAGGCAACUUAUAGAAGUAGAUAUUUAUUUGGGAUUAGAGCGGUAGAGAGAUUACAUUCCUUCAAAGUCAUGAGAGAGAAGCAUGGCUGCAGGAAGGAAGGACAACCAAACAGGAAUCAGAGACCUGGGGGCUCUUAUCUUAGGCAGCAAACACGAAGCACAGAGAGUACACAGCAAAUGGCACCUAGCUUCUGUAAUGUUAACUCUAACCAAUGACAUACUUCCUCCAGGAAAGCCAAGCCACUUAAACCACCCAAAAGGUCUCACAAAGAUGGCAUCCUAUUUAAACCAUCACAAUGAAACUCCUCCCCACACCCUGCAAAAAAUCACCAAUUCGAGAAACCUUUGAACUCCUUAAUUUGAUUCACUCACAGGUAUUCUGGAAGCAAAUCAGUUCUGAAAUGUUACUUUGCUUUACUAGCUCCUCCAUUCUUUUCAAGAUGUAUGAAAUUUUAACUAUGUUAUGUAUGUUGCAAAAGAGUCUCCAUUUUAGACAGAGACUUCAUUUCACAGGUUGAUAUCGGCUUGUAGUAACUGCUAUUUUCUUCAUCAUUUUAGAUUUCCAUUUUUUAUUGAUUUCAAUUUUGUAAAGUACUUGAAAUUACAAAGGAUCUUGUUUUUGCCUUGUGGUGUUACAGAUGUCUUUUAUACAAAUCAUGAUUGACAAGAAUGUAGAUGUUUUGGGAGACGAUGACAGUACAAUUUGUAAGGAUAUUCAAAAGAGAUCUGAUGAACUUAAGAUGUCACUAAAUACUGCUGGAUGUGACAAUGGAAAAACUUCAACAUAUAAUGUUCCACAGAGGAACUAUUUGUUACAAAUAGUUUCACUCAUUAUACUUACUUUUAUGUUGUGUAUCAUAUAUAUUUAUCUAUUAUAAUAAAUUUUAAUAAAGUGUAUUAUUGCUUUGACUCCAA
This is a long non-coding RNA of Grammomys surdaster, 1888 nucleotides long. RefSeq lists it as uncharacterized. The record is from RefSeq and is a predicted model, not a curated record. The transcript has 2 exons. NCBI's taxonomy places the organism in Eukaryota, Metazoa, Chordata, Mammalia, Rodentia, Muridae.